UAAGAAGGAGGAGCAGAGGAGGCGCGCCAUAGAGGGAGUGGUGGACAUCACAAUCCUCUGCCUGAUGGAGAUGAACCAGGAGGAACUGGCCGACAAACUGUGGGGCGGAGCUGCUGCUGUCGAGUGCCAACAUAAAAUCAAGUCUCAUUUGAGGAAUAAGUUCUGGUGUGUGUUUGAGGGAAUCGCUAAAGCAGGUCAUUCAACACCUCUGAAUGAGUUCUACACAGAGAACUUCAUCACAGAGAGAGGCAGUGGAGAGGUCAACAAGGAACAUGAGGUCAGACUGAUUGAAACCGCUUCCAGGAAACCAGCCAACGAAGGAACACCAAUCAAAUGUG
Molecule: long non-coding RNA, 338 nt
Organism: Gadus morhua (Atlantic cod)
Lineage: Eukaryota; Metazoa; Chordata; Actinopteri; Gadiformes; Gadidae
Exons: 2
Source: RefSeq, a predicted model, not a curated record